UACACUCCUGCGGGAGGCAGCAGUGGGGAAUUUUGGACAAUGGGCGAAAGCCUGAUCCAGCAAUGCCGCGUGAGUGAAGAAGGCCUUCGGGUUGUAAAGCUCUUUUGUCAGGGAAGAAACGGUGAGAGCUAAUAUCUUUUGCUAAUGACGGUACCUGAAGAAUAAGCACCGGCUAACUACGUGCCAGCAGCCGCGGUAAUACGUAGGGUGCAAGCGUUAAUCGGAAUUACUGGGCGUAAAGCGUGCGCAGGCGGUUUUGUAAGUCUGAUGUGAAAUCCCCGGGCUCAACCUGGGAAUUGCAUUGGGGACUGUAAGGCUAGAAUCUGGCAGAGGGGGGUAGAAUUCCACGUGUAGCAGUGAAAUGCGUAGGUAUGUGGAGGAACACCGAUGGCGAAGGCAGUCCCCUGGGUCAAGAUUGACGCUCAUGCACGAAAGCGUGGGGAGCAAACAGGAUUAGAUACCCUGGUAGUCCCAUGA
RNAcentral lists this ribosomal RNA (477 nucleotides) under uncultured organism. RNAcentral describes it as "partial 16S ribosomal RNA". It matches the Rfam family "Bacterial small subunit ribosomal RNA", at positions 332 to 800 of the family's 1533-position model. The record is from RNAcentral.